RNAcentral lists this ribosomal RNA (1702 nucleotides) under Apogonichthyoides taeniatus (twobelt cardinal). RNAcentral describes it as "16S ribosomal RNA". The stretch from base 98 to 1623 matches the Rfam family "Bacterial large subunit ribosomal RNA". Lineage: Eukaryota; Metazoa; Chordata; Actinopteri; Kurtiformes; Apogonidae. The record is from RNAcentral.
GGCCUAUCAGCUAGCUCAAGCCCCUAAAUACAAUGACACCCUAUCAAUAAACCCUAACACCCCAAACAAACACUGACCAAACCAUUUUUCCACCCAAGUAUGGGCGACAGAAAAGGACCCCCUGAAGCAAUAGCAGAAGUACCGCAAGGGAACGCUGAAAGAGAAAUGAAAUAAAUAGAUAAGCACAAAGAAGCAGAGAUUAGUUCUCGUACCUUUUGCAUCAUGAUUUAGCAAGACACCGCCAAGCACAGAGCACUUUAGUUUGGCCCCCCGAAACCAGGUGAGCUACUCCAAGACAGCCAAUCUGGGCAAACCCGUCUCUGUGGCAAAAGAGUGGGAAGAGCUUUGAGUAGAGGUGACAGACCUACCGAACCUGGCUAUAGCUGGUUGUUCAAGAAAUGAAUAGAAGUUCAGCCUUUUGCUCUUCUUAACCCAAAGUCAGUUACACUUUUACGUGAACAAGAAGACAAAAGAGUUAGUCAAAGGGGGUACAGCCCCUUUGAAAGAGACACAACUUUCCCAGAAGGGUUAAGAUCAUACUACCAUUAAGGGCCCGUGCUCUGGUAGGCCUAAGAGCAGCCAUCCAUGAAGAAAGCGUUAAAGCUCGCGCACCCCCUCUCCCCCAUUAUUAGGACAAACUUAUCUUACCCCCCUGUGUAAUGUAUUGAACCUUCCCAUCCGACCUAUGGAAGAGAUCAUGCUAAUAUGAGUAAUAAGAGACCAAGACUCUCUCCCCGCACAAGCGUAUACCGGAACGAACCAACACCGGUAAUUAACGGCCCCAAUACCAGAGGGCACUGAAGUCAAAUAACAGAAAUACUAGAAAUGCUUUCACACACCCCCCCCCGUUAACCUUACACCAGCGUGCUUACAAGGAAAGACUAAAAGAAAAAGAAGGAACUCGGCAAACCCAAGCCUCGCCUGUUUACCAAAAACAUCGCCUCUUGCACACCGCAGAAUAAGAGGUCCUGCCUGCCCUGUGACUGUGGGUUUAACGGCCGCGGUAUUUUGACCGUGCAAAGGUAGCGCAAUCACUUGUCCUUUAAAUGAGGACCUGUAUGAAUGGCAAAACGAGGGCUUUACUGUCUCCUUUUUUAAGUCAAUGAAAUUGAUCCUCCCGUGCAGAAGCGGGAAUAGACACAUAAGACGAGAAGACCCUAUGGAGCUUCAGACACUAAGGCAGGUCGAGAAACACAAACCGAGAUAAAGGAACUGAACCUCAAAAACACUGCCCGACUGUCUUUGGUUGGGGCGACCACGGGGUAAAACAGAACCCCCGUGCGGAACAAGGGCACACCCCUCCUCCCACCCUUCAAACCUAGAGUGACAACUCUAACGAGCAGAAAAUCUGACCACAAGUGAUCCGGCAUAAGCCGAUCAACGGACCGAGUUACCCUAGGGAUAACAGCGCAAUCCCCUCCUAGAGUCCAUAUCGACGAGGGGGUUUACGACCUCGAUGUUGGAUCAGGACAUCCUAUUGGUGCAGCCGCUAUUAAGGGUUCGUUUGUUCAACGAUUAAAGUCCUACGUGAUCUGAGUUCAGACCGGAGCAAUCCAGGUCAGUUUCUAUCUAUGAAAUGAUUUUUUCUAGUACGAAAGGACCGAAAAGAUGGGGCCUAUGCUUCAAGCACGCCUCCUCCUCACCCAAUGACCUCAACUAAAAAGGGUAAGAGGACAUGCCACGCAGUCUAAGAGAAAGACUU